AUAACGGAGGAAAGAAACCAACAGGGAUUGCCUCAGUAACGGCGAGUGAAGCGGCAACAGCUCAAAUUUGAAAUCUGGCCCCUUCGGGGUCCGAGUUGUAAUUUGCAGAGGGUGCUUUUGGUGUUGGCCGUGGUCUAAGUUCCUUGGAACAGGACGUCACAGAGGGUGAGAAUCCCGUACGUGGCCGCCGGCCCUCGCCUUGUAAAGCCCCUUCGACGAGUCGAGUUGUUUGGGAAUGCAGCUCUAAAUGGGAGGUAAAUUUCUUCUAAAGCUAAAUACCCGCCAGAGACCGAUAGCGCACAAGUAGAGUGAUCGAAAGAUGAAAAGCACUUUGGAAAGAGAGUGAAAAAGCACGUGAAAUUGUUGAAAGGGAAGCGCUUGCGGCCAGACGUGCCCGCGGUUGUUCAUCUGGGCUCUCGCCCGGUGCACUCCUCCGCGGGCAGGCCAGCAUCAGUUUGGGCGGUCGGACAAAGGUCUCUAUCACGUACCACCCCUCGGGGUGGCCUUAUAGGGGAGACGCAACACGGCCAGCCUGGACUGAGGUUCCGCGCAUCUGCUAGGAUGCUGGCGUAAUGGCAGCAAGCGGCCCGUCUUGAAACACGGACCAAGGAGUCUAACAUCUAUGCGAGUGUUUGGGUGUCAAGCCCGAGCGCGUAAUGAAAGUGAACGGAGGUGGGAACCCCUCGGGGCGCACCAUCGACCGAUCCUGAUGUCUUCGGAUGGAUUUGAGUAAGAGCAUAGCUGUUGGGACCCGAAAGAUGGUGAACUAUGCCUGAAUAGGGUGAAGCCAGAGGAAACUCUGGUGGAGGCUCGCAGCGGUUCUGACGUGCAAAUCGAUCGUCAAAUUUGGGCAUAG
This 856-nucleotide ribosomal RNA is filed under the name Dendryphion sp. RNAcentral's name for it is "partial large subunit ribosomal RNA". It matches the Rfam family "Eukaryotic large subunit ribosomal RNA", at positions 46 to 920 of the family's 3401-position model. Lineage: Eukaryota; Fungi; Ascomycota; Dothideomycetes; Pleosporales; Torulaceae. The record is from RNAcentral.